GUGUUGUAUGAAAGUAGAAAAGGUUAGCACUCCCCUUGACAAAGAUGGAAGAGGCCCUUGUGCCUGUGUAACAUACAUACAGUUAAGGCAUUGCCACUUACUUCAUCGUAUCUAACCACUUUUUGU
RNAcentral lists this non-coding RNA (126 nucleotides) under Dasypus novemcinctus (nine-banded armadillo). Lineage: Eukaryota; Metazoa; Chordata; Mammalia; Cingulata; Dasypodidae. The record is from RNAcentral.